UACGAAGGGGGCUAGCGUUGCUCGGAAUCACUGGGCGUAAAGCGCACGUAGGCGGAUCGUUAAGUCGGGGGUGAAAUCCUGGAGCUCAACUCCAGAACUGCCUUCGAUACUGGCGAUCUUGGAGUCCGGGAGAGGUGAGUGGAACUCCGAGUGUAGAGGUGAAAUUCGUAGAUAUUCGGAAGAACACCAGUGGCGAAGGCGGCUCUCUGGACGGUGACUGACGCUGAGACGCGAAAGCGUGGGGAGCAAACAGG
RNAcentral lists this ribosomal RNA (254 nucleotides) under uncultured bacterium. Its description in RNAcentral is "partial 16S ribosomal RNA". It matches the Rfam family "Bacterial small subunit ribosomal RNA", at positions 524 to 776 of the family's 1533-position model. The record is from RNAcentral.